AUAAGAGGUCCCGCCUGCCCUGUGACUAUGGGUUUAACGGCCGCGGUAUUUUGACCGUGCGAAGGUAGCGCAAUCACUUGUCUUUUAAAUGAAGACCUGUAUGAAUGGCAUCACGAGGGCUUAGCUGUCUCCUCUCCCAAGUCAAUGAAAUUGAUCUGUCCGUGCAGAAGCGGGCAUAAGUACAUAAGACGAGAAGACCCUAUGGAGCUUUAGACACCAGGCAGAUCACGUCAAGUAACCUUAAAUUAAUAAGUGGAAACGCAGUGACCCCUAGCCCAUAUGUCUUUGGUUGGGGCGACCGCGGGGGAAAAUAAAGCCCCCAUGUGGACUGGGGGCACUGCCCCCACAGCCGAGAGCUACAGCUCUAAGCACCAGAAUUUCUGACCAAAAAUGAUCCGGCGAACGCCGAUCAACGGACCGAGUUACCCUAGGGAUAACAGCGCAAUCCUCUCCCAGAGUCCCUAUCGACGAGGGGGUUUACGACCUCGAUGUUGGAUCAGGACAUCCUAAUGGUGCAGCCGCUAUUAAGGGUUCGUUUGUUCAACGAUUAAAGUCC
RNAcentral lists this ribosomal RNA (556 nucleotides) under Salvelinus fontinalis (brook trout). RNAcentral describes it as "partial 16S ribosomal RNA". It matches the Rfam family "Bacterial large subunit ribosomal RNA", at positions 1845 to 2596 of the family's 2925-position model. Lineage: Eukaryota; Metazoa; Chordata; Actinopteri; Salmoniformes; Salmonidae. The record is from RNAcentral.